UAACAUUGCGAAAGCGAUGCUAAUACCGGAUAAGCUCACGAUUUGAUUGGUUGUGGGAAAAGAUGGCCUAGUCUAUGCUAUCGCUUGAAGAUGAGUCCGCGUACCAUUAGCUUGUUGGUAGGGUAAUGGCCUACCAAGGCAUCGAUGGUUAGCUGGCCUGAGAGGGCGGCCAGCCACACUGGAACUGAGACACGGUCCAG
This 200-nucleotide ribosomal RNA is filed under the name uncultured bacterium. Its description in RNAcentral is "partial 16S ribosomal RNA". It matches the Rfam family "Bacterial small subunit ribosomal RNA", at positions 144 to 334 of the family's 1533-position model. The record is from RNAcentral.